This 447-nucleotide ribosomal RNA is filed under the name uncultured bacterium. RNAcentral describes it as "partial 16S ribosomal RNA". It matches the Rfam family "Bacterial small subunit ribosomal RNA", at positions 29 to 523 of the family's 1533-position model. The record is from RNAcentral.
AACGAACGCUGGCGGCAGGCCUAAAACAUGCAAGUCGAACGAACCUUCGGGUUAGUGGCGCACGGGUGAGUAACACGUGGGAACGUACCCUUUGGUGCGGAACAACGUCUGGAAACGGACGCUAAUACCGCAUAAUAUCUACGGAUCAAAGAUUUAUCGCCAAAGGAACGGCCCGCGUUAGAUUAGGUAGCUGGUAGGGUAAUGGCCUACCAAGCCUACGAUCUAUAGCUGGUUUGAGAGAAUGAUCAGCCACACUGGGACUGAGACACGGCCCAGACUCCUACGGGAGGCAGCAGUUAGGAAUAUUGGACAAUGGGGGAAACCCCGAUCCAGCCAUGCCGCGUGUGUGAAGAAGGCCUUAGGGUUGUAAAGCACUUUCAUCUGCGAAGAUAAUGACAGUAACAGAAGAAGAAGCUCCGGCUAAAUUCGUGCCAGCCGCCGCAGUAA